Molecule: long non-coding RNA, 1330 nt
Organism: Raphanus sativus (radish)
Lineage: Eukaryota; Viridiplantae; Streptophyta; Magnoliopsida; Brassicales; Brassicaceae
Exons: 5
Source: RefSeq, a predicted model, not a curated record
ACUUCAUCAAUUCAUUCAACCUGCAUGCGACACCUGUCCCUUCUUUUUUAAACUCUGCGUUUUGUUUGAGCCAGUUUUUUUCGUGAUAUAUCGUCUUCUUCGACGAGCUUUUCGUCUUCCCUCAUAAAGAGUUUCUCUGUUGAAGUCUCAGAGGUUUCUCUAUCUCGAGUUCUGCUUCUCACGCCGUCUACGACCUCUCUCGAUGCCGCUGCGUCUCUGACUCCGCCACUGCGCCUCCGACUACUCUGCGCUGCAUCUCCUCCUUUGCGAGCGGGUCCAUAUCUCCUCCUCGGCCUCAUUAUCAUAUGCGACUCCAGAUUUCUUUUCCUUCUCUUACUAUCUCCUGAAAUCAUGGUUAAUUCUCUUGGAUCCGCUCUAAGAUUACAUUUGAUCACAAUCAUGUGUUUGAGGGCCUGUUUGAUUCUGAAUUGAUUUCUCUGAUUUUCUUACUACAUGAGCUCGAUGAGGUUUCUGAUUCCCGGGAAGUUAUCGGACUUUUGGAUUUGUGGGAUUCUGAUCAACGCUGUAUUAGAUUGAAUACACCGUACGCUAAAUUUUCAAAUCUCUAAAACAUGUUUCUCAAUUAUGUUAUAGGUUAAAGAGACGAAAACUGAAGCAUCUAGAAACCGUGGAUGAAGAUGAGAUUGAGGAUGUAGCUUCUGGUAAGUUUUCAGAAGAAAUCUCCGAAGCAUCCUCAACUCCUCAAGCAAGUUACCAUGCCAACACCCAGGGACCUUAGGAAACAUGUGCAUUGUCUGUGGCCAAAACGUGGAAGAAGAAGAAACUGGUCUUUCAUUCACUUACAUACACAAGUUUCAUCAAGAUGAAGUAACCCGGAUGCGUGAUAUAGAUAUGAAAAUGUUGCAAAGCCAGCGGAAGUUAUGUUUAGUUCUUGAUCUAGACCACACUUUGCUUAACUCAACCGUACUUAGAGACUUGAAACCAGAGGAGGAAUACUUGAAAAGCGUUACACACUCUUCAAGAUGUUUCUGGUGGUGAUCUCUUCAUGCUUGAGUUCAUGCAUAUGAUGACCAAAUUAAGACCGUUUGUUCAUUCGUUUCUGAAAGGAGCCAGCAAGAUGUUUGUAUUGUAUAUAUACACAAUGGGAGAUAGGCCAUAUGCACCACAGAUGGCGAAGCUGCUAGACCCAAAAGUAGAGUACUUCGGUGAACGGCCUAAUUGAUUUAUUGAUUGUACGAAGGAAAAGGUCUUCUAUGUCGUUGUCGUAUUUUAAUUUUUAGCUGAUAUUUAACUCGAAAAAUAAUCAUAUCAAAAAAGUUAUCUAUGUUUAUGUGAUAAAUACAAUGAAUUUAAAUUUUCUAAAAUUACA